AUCGUUCAAGGGCAACCCUUCCGAAAGGAAGGUUCGCAAAGCUUCGGGUCUAAGGUUUUUCAGCUAUGACUGCCGGGCUGCCGAA
RNAcentral lists this non-coding RNA (85 nucleotides) under Bacillota bacterium. RNAcentral's name for it is "Firmicutes bacterium c-di-GMP sequence". It matches the Rfam family "c-di-GMP-I riboswitch aptamer". From Rfam's summary of the family: GEMM was predicted in a large-scale screen for bacterial structured RNA regulatory elements. Genes associated with GEMM are involved in a diverse array of functions, including chemotaxis regulation, signal transduction, secretion and chitin. Lineage: Bacteria; Bacillati; Bacillota. The record is from RNAcentral.